This 3161-nucleotide long non-coding RNA is filed under the name Malus domestica (apple). RNAcentral describes it as "long non-coding RNA (MDOM_LNC013652)". The record is from RNAcentral. Lineage: Eukaryota; Viridiplantae; Streptophyta; Magnoliopsida; Rosales; Rosaceae.
AAGACUGGCCCAAUUUGCUACGAGUCCACGCGUGUUUGGGGGGAUUUUGGCCCAGCUUUAGCAUUUGACUUUUAGCCCAAUGUCUUAGCUUGGGUUGGGUAGUGUUUGGGGGGAAAUUUUGGGAGAAAAUAUAGCAAAUAGCCCAGGUUUGGAGAAUGUCUUAAGGAUGUGACCAUAGAGCAUUAUGGUGGAUCUAAUGGAUUUGAGUUAGCAUGGUAUAUGCUGAAGUAUGCUCAGAAUUUGGAGAAAAUGGUUGUAGUUUAUCAUCCUCGGCAAUCUAAGGCUAUAAGGAAAUUGAAAAAGGUCGUGACUGCUCAGGACUUGGAGAAACGUGAUUGUUUGUUUGUCGGAAAUAUCUGAUUUUAUAAGGAAGCUAAAUGAAGAGCGGGGGGUGUAUUCAAUUGGGAGUGAGAGAUUUUAAUGAAUUUAUAAAUCUACGGAUUUUCAUGGAGUUUAAUUGAUUUGUAGAGAUUUCAUAUAAAAUUUUGAUUCAAUUCCCUCAAAAUCUCAUGGGGAGAUGUGAGAUUUGAGGAUGCUUAAAUUACACUACAAAUCUCUUCAAUUCCCUAUAAUUCCUCAACUUUUUCAAAUUGUUUAAAAUCAAAUUCUAAUUGAAUACAUCUGGAAUGUUAUAAACUUAUUUAAAAUCAUAAUUGAAUACACAUUAAAUUUCAAAGAAUUACUUAAAAUCUUGAUUUAAUAUCCCUAGAUUCAUUAAAAGAAUUAAAAUCUCUCAAAAUCCCAAUUAAAUACACCCCUAAAAAUCAAGAGCAUUUCCAUUGCUGCAAUUGUCUAUCAGGAAGAUCAAGAAAACAAGGACCGCCCCUCCCCACCUGGCCGCUUGGUUGUGGUUCAAUCUAGGGAUGGGCAACAGUUAUGGUGGGCGAGUAACCGCGGUUAUUUACCCAUAAUCGUUUAUGUUCAUACCCACAUAACCGUUUCCUCGUUGGUAAUUGCAUAAACGGUUAUACCCAUAUCCAUAACUGUUUAUAAACGGUUAACCAUACCCAUAACCGUGUACCCAUUUAACCAUAACCGUUUACCUAUUUAACCAUAACCAUUUACCCGUUUUUGAACCCGUUUAUCCUUUUUUUACCCAUUCACCCUUUUCACCCGUCCACUUUUUUUUUUAUCAACUUGAAUAUUACAAAAGCAAAAUUUGUCAUAAUUUUCAUUUUCUGACAAUUAAACACCGUUAUAAGUACAUUUUAGCAUGCAUUUCCCUAUUUUAAUCAUUUAAGUCCUCAUACAAUUCCAAUAAUUGAAAUAAUAGUUUACGAACAAUAUUUUUCUACUACACCCAAGCAAGUCUUUAAUUAUAAUCCAUAUGAUUACAAAGUAAAGCUUCUAAAAACAAAAAGUAGUCAUUAUCUUGAAUAUUAGAUGAUUCAAAACUCCAAAAUAUUCUGAAACUAAACACUUUCGAACACUAAUGCUUUAGCACGUUCAAUCACAAUGUCUCAUCAACUCGUUGUCACCAAAAGAGGCCUACAAAAGAAAUGUAUAAAUUGAAUUAGUAUCUCAUUUAGGAACAUCGAUACCAAUUAGCAUGAAUCCAACAAAGGUAGACUUAACCUUGAGGGGCGAUGAGAGAGAGAUGAGCGGCGAGGAGAGAGAGAUAAGCGGUGUAGAUGACAGAGAGUGCGGCGGUGAUGAGAGAAAGGGCGACGAGGAGAGAUAGAUGAGUGGCGGAGAUGAGAGAAAGGGUAACGAGGAGGAAGAAAUGAGCGAGGGACGGGGCGUUUGAGACUCCGAGUCUGACGGAGAUAUUGAAAAUUUAAGGUUUUUAAUUUUAAUUUUUUAAUUUCAUAUAUUAAAUUAAAUAGGUAAAUGGAUAUCCGUUAUAAUUGCGUGUAAUACCCAAAACCGACGGAUACCCGUUAUCACCGUGGGUAAUACCCAUAACCACCCAUUUAAAUUUCAUGGAUAAACAGUUAUACUCAUAACCAUUUGUUCGUCUAAACGGUUACCCAUAACAGUAACCGUGAAUUUUAAAUGGACGGGUAACCGCGGUUAUCCAAACCCAUGAGUAUUUUUCCCAUCCCUAGUUCGAUCUAUUCACAUUGAAUUUUGAUGAACGUUGUAAUCCUUGAUUUGUUUUUCUUGUUCUAAUUAUAUACUGGGAGUUUCUUGACUUGCUUGCUUGUUUUGUUUGCGUUGUAUAAUUUUCAACUUUUGACAUGUUUGAUAAUCGUAGGGCUUAUGUGUUUGAUGAAAUGAUUUUAGAUAUAUCGUAGACCUCGAGAAUGCUCAGGAGUUGCUACUUGGGGAAAAUAGAGAUUGUUCGUUCGCCCCAACAAUUCAAUGGUAUAAGGUAUUUAAAUGAAAGAAAGAGCGAUUCGCGAUUCCAAAUGAUGCAGUUGUUUUGGUCAAUUGCUCAAUGUUGAAGGUGUUGGAAAAUAGUUAUUUAUUUAGUGUUUGGAUUUGGGCUUAACCCAUUUGAAUUAGGUUUUCGUUUCCUUACUUAUUAGGGACUAGGGUUAGUUUAUUAUAAAUAAAGAGCUUUCAUUCAGAGAGAUUAAGUCAUUCACAAUGUAGCCUCUUAGAGUUUUAUAGCCGUUUUGGCAUUCUCGUUUAUUUAAUAAUAUUCUUACUUUGUUAGUUUUGUUAAUCACGCACUCUGCUAUUCAACUAGCAGGUUUGAUCAUUCGAGAUUUAAUCUGCUUCUGUUCAGUAUCAAUUUGUCUGUCUCGUCCGUUUGUUUGUUGUUCUGUUCUCAGUUGUCGUUGGCUUAGGUUGCAGAAAAAGUAAAGAAAACAGUGUAGAAAAAGAAUUUGUAUGACGACGACUUUUAUGAAGCUAUGACUCGAGAAUCACAAACUCGGAUCAAGUUUGUCUCUACCUUAGGCAUUCCUGUUGAACCCAGCUUGCAUGAACCCACCAUGUCAGUACCUGCCGCCACAUAUGACUAAAUCCAAACCGCUUGAUUUAUCGACCAUUGCUGAGAAACCCAUCUGCGCACUGCCGCUGCUCAUGCACCCAGUCACCAAGCUUGCUGAUGCUGUCCAUUGUGGCCAUCGAAAUGUUUGCAACUGAUGUUGGUAAUUCUUAUCUUUGCUGUUUUUGUUGUUGAUUUGACGAUUAUAUUGGAGUUCCUAUGCAUUCUGAGAAUUGUUGCACUUGUUCGGAGAAAACCAAAAAAAAAAAAAAAAAAAAAAAAA